This 67-nucleotide transfer RNA is filed under the name Hydora sp. RNAcentral's name for it is "tRNA-Tyr". The record is from RNAcentral. Lineage: Eukaryota; Metazoa; Arthropoda; Insecta; Coleoptera; Elmidae.
CGGUAAAAUGGCUGAGAUUAGGCAAUAAACUGUAAAUUUAUUUACGAAAGAAUAUUUCUUUUACCGG